This 407-nucleotide ribosomal RNA is filed under the name uncultured bacterium. RNAcentral's name for it is "bacterial SSU rRNA". It matches the Rfam family "Bacterial small subunit ribosomal RNA", at positions 355 to 776 of the family's 1533-position model. The record is from RNAcentral.
UUGGGAAUCUUGCACAAUGGGGGAAACCCUGAUGCAGCGACGCCGCGUGGAGGACGAAGGAUCUAGGUCUGUAAACUCCUUUUGCCGAGAAAGACUUAGGACGGUACUCGGCGAAUAAGCUCCGGCUAACUACGUGCCAGCAGCCGCGGUAAGACGUAGGGAGCGAGCGUUGUCCGGAUUUACUGGGCGUAAAGGGCGCGUAGGCGGCUUGUUAAGUGUGAAGUGAAAUCUCCAGGGCUCAACCCGGAAACCGCUUUGCAAACUGGCAUGGCUUGAGGAAGGCAGAGGUGAAUAGAAUUCCUGGUGUAGCGGUGACAUGCAUUGAUAUCAGGAGGAAUACCAAUGGCGAAGGCAGUUCACUGGGCCUCUCCUGACGCUGAGGCGCGAAAGCGUGGGUAGCAAACAGG